UUGCUUUCAUACACGUUUUUGCUGUUUACUAAGUUGUCUAUUUGCAUGUAUUGCAUGGCAGGGGAUAUUACAGGUGCAGCAGCUCAAAAGGUUGCCCUGCUAGGAAACAAGUUGAGCGGAGCCACCUUGAUCCCACCAUGCUCCUCAUCACCUACUAUUGUGACCACAACCACCCUCUCCUCGCCACCACAAAAUACGACCACCACCACUCUGCCACGCCAGCGGCCGCCUCCACCUCCUCGUCCGCCACUACUGUUCCCGCCGAGGAAGAAUGUGCUACAUUUGCCAACCGGCCAAAACUCGAGCAGGAGGACAGUGUCUUCACCGAGCUCGCUGUCGAGUUUGGCUGGUUGGCCGAUGUUGGGCGUACAGUACUGGAUAGUCCUGUUAUUUUGGGUUCCACUUGGGCACAAGCCGACUUGGAAGUGUUCAUGCCAAUUGGAGAAGAGGAUGAGUUUUUGUAUGGUGAUUUGGGGGAUUUGCCGGAGUCCUCACAGGUUUUCCGGCGUUGCAGUACAGAGACACCAUGCUAUGGCGGCACAGGAUAAAUAUGUUGAUGAAUUGACUUCCAAUGUGAUAGUUUCAAACGUGAAUAUCAAUAAUAAAUUGAAAGUUGGCAUAGGUUGCGCCACAAUAUAUGCUAAAAGUUUCCGUGGU
RNAcentral lists this long non-coding RNA (657 nucleotides) under Olea europaea subsp. europaea. Lineage: Eukaryota; Viridiplantae; Streptophyta; Magnoliopsida; Lamiales; Oleaceae. The record is from RNAcentral.